RNAcentral lists this ribosomal RNA (207 nucleotides) under uncultured bacterium. RNAcentral describes it as "partial 16S ribosomal RNA". It matches the Rfam family "Bacterial small subunit ribosomal RNA", at positions 568 to 774 of the family's 1533-position model. The record is from RNAcentral.
CGCGUAGGCGGUCUGUUAAGUGUGAAGUGAAAUCCCUCGGCUCAACCGAGGACGUGCUUUGCAUACUGGUGGACUUGAGUCCGAGAGGGGGUGGUGGAAUUCCUGGUGUAGGGGUGAAAUCCGUAGAGAUCAGGAGGAACACCGUUGGCGAAGGCGGCCACCUGGAUCGGUACUGACGCUGAGACGCGAAAGCGUGGGGAGCAAACA